AUCACUCACAUUAUUUAUUUAUAUUUUUGUUAACUCACAAGAAAGUACCCACCAAUAAACUUUGCUACAAAUCACAGCGACAUUAAGCUUAUAGCCCUAUAUGUUGUUGUUGUUUUUCAUUUUGUCGCCUUUCGGGACAGGCAAAGAUCUAAGACCAUACAGCCUAUUCAGACGUAUUUCUUUUCAAAUUCUCGGUAUAACUUUUUUUUUCUUUUUCUUUAAUUUUUUUAUUUUAUUUUAUUUAAGAAGGCAAAGCCUAUUCAAUCGUAUUUCUUUAAAAUCUAAAUACUUAUAAAUAUUUUUAUUUUUUCCUAUUAGGUAAUUUCUGAGGAUAUGACUGAAUGUAUCUUUUUCUUCUUUUUUUAUAUUUAAUAAUUUUUUUUAAAAAUAUUAUGUCGAAUCCGGCGGUCUAGUUCAGGACUAAUUCUAUUAAAGUCUUCAGUCUUUAAUAUUUUUAUAUUUAUUGUCGUCAAAUCUCUUGUACAGUAUUCGUUAUGAAUUUGUACAAAUAUUUAUAAUUCAAAGGAUUCUUCAAUAAAUCCCUUAAAGAGCGCGGUACGUCUUCAAUCUUCUUAUAUAAAUUACUUAAGUCAUCAAUUAGCACAAGGCGCUGAAUGCCAAAAGAUGAACAAGAAAAGAAAAUGUGAUCCAGUGUUUGUGGUUCAUUGAUGUUGCAAAAAUUACAUGACGGCGAGUCUCUUAUUAUAUUCAUUCUAUGUAAAUGAGAAUUAAGUCGGCAAUGUCCAAAUCGUAAGCGACAAAUAACUGUAUAAUAUUUCCGAUUGCUAUAAAUCUUCUCUUUACAAAACCAUGGUUUUUUAUUAAUAUUAUUAUUUAAAUUUUUAUACUCCAAUCCUUUGUGCUUAUGUUCAAGGGAAUUCCUCAUUUCUUGCCAGUUACUCUCCAUCUUAUUGAUUAGUUUUUUGUGUAUAUCUGUGUAAGGGAGGGCAGCAGCGUUGGUUCUUUGCAGGGACUGUGUUUGACAAUGACAAUUACUUCUGUUGUGGAUUUGGUUGGAUGAUGCAUUUGUUAUAGUUUUUGCCAGAAAGUCUGCAUUUUCGUUUCCUUUCACCCCAGAGUGUGUCGGAACCCAAAUAAAAACAAUGUCAAAACCAUUCCAAUACAGUUGAUAGGUUUUCUUCUUAAUUUCAUAGAUGAUGUAAUUUGAUUUAGCACUCAUUUUGCAAUUUGAAAUAGAUGAAAGUACACUCAUACUAUCGCUGGCGAUCACCCAUUUUAGAGUCUCAGUUUUUCUAUUUUCUAAAUAGUGUAAUGCUGAUAAGAUAGCAAGUGCCUCCGCUGUAAAAAUACUUGCAUAUGAAUUAAUUUUUUCACCAGACCCGAGCUUUAUUAGACUAUCAUAAAUGGCGAUUGAAGUACUAUUUUCAUUCUUUGCUGCGUCAGUGUAUACAAUUCUAUAGUUUGACCAGUUCGAAAGCUUGUCAUAGAAUAAUUCUUUCGAGGAAAGGGAAGGGUCUAUUUCUACAUUAAUAUUUACAUAAUAGCAUUCAUAAUCUCCUUCAAAGCAUGGCCAAGUAGUCUCUGUUCUGUGAAUAUUUGAAGAUUCGAGUAACUGUAAAUACUCAGAGAAAUUCUGUAGCAAGAACAGUGAAUUUGUGUUUGAAAUUGUUGAAUAAGCUAUUAGAAGGUUUUUAAAAAGUUUAUUGUUUUUCAAUGAAUAUAAUUUCAAUAAGAAUUUAUUUUUUAGGUAGCUGAAGCGUAUACUAAGAGGUGGAAUAUUACAUUCGGUUUGUAGGAUAUUAAUUGGUGUUGUUUUGAAAGCACCUGUAAUAAGGCGUAAGCUGGUAUUUUGGAUAGAUUCUAGUUUUUUAACUAAAGAUUUAUUAGAAGCAAAGCAUACGGCUCCAUAUUCAAAAUGACUUCGGAUAAUAGACUUAUAAAGUAACAAAAGAAUUUUGGGAUCAGCUCCCCAGUAGGUUUUAGCUAAAGAUUUCAAGAUAUUCAAAGCUCUAGUAGCCCUAGCCACAAUGCAAUCAACAUAUUUAGUCCAUGACAAAUUACUGGUGAAUAGGACGCCUAAAAAUUUUACUUCUGAAGCCUGUUCUAUUUGAUUUUCGUUAUAAUGAAUAUGUAUAGAAGGGUUACUUCUUUUACCAAAAACAACAACUUUAGAUUUUUUGGAGUUAAUAUGAAAACAGCAACGAGGGAUUGUUUUUGAAUAAUUGACUUUUGAAUAUCAAGUUGCAACAAGGCAAUACUUUCCUGAGCUGACUUCCCCUUUCGGAAUCCAUAUUGAUUAUGAGGUAGUAUAUUAUUUUUUUCAAUAUAGUAUUCAAUACGCUGUUUUAAGAGCUGUUCAAAAAUUUUACCCAUACAAGAGGUCAGAGUUAUAGGUCGAUAAGAAUCUUCAUAGAACUCUUUUUUAUCAGGCUUCAAAACUGGUAUCAAGCAAUCAACUUUCCAAUCCUCAGGAAUGUAAUUUACUUUCCAUAAAUUAUUGAAAAUAUCGCACAGAAUCUUAAGUGUAUUUUCAUCUAACUUUUUUAACAAAAUAUAAGGAAUGCCAUCCAAACCAAAAGCUGUGUCUUUUCUGCUGUGUAUAGCUGUUUUAAGUUCUUUAAUUGUAAAGGAAUUCAAAAUAAAUUCAUUGGUUGGGUUAUUAUUCUCUACAUAAGAUAAUUUAGUGUGGUUUACAUAAUCUGGUGUGUACUUUUUUAAAAAUUUCAAAAUCCAAUCAUUUUUAUCAAACAUUUUUUUAUAAGAAAAGGUUUUGUUAAAUUUUUUCAUAUAUGACCAUAUUAUAGUUAUAGGAGUGUUGCGAUUAAAGGAAUGACAUAGCUCAUUCCAACUGCUUUCUCUUUCUUGUUUUAAAGUUAAUUUCUUUAAUGCCUGCAGUCUUUUAAAGUUUAUAUAAUUUUCAAUACUAGGGUCAUAUUUGAAUACUAAAUAUGCCUGCUUGCAAUUUUGAACUGCAACACUACAUUUACUGUUCCACCAUGGAAGACACAGCCUUUUGCGUCUAUUAUUUACAGUAAUAUUGUGAGGUUUACGAUGAUAAGGGAUUGAUUUUUGAACAGCUUUAUGUAAAAUUUCGAUAAAAUUAUUAUAUGAAUUCAAUGGAAACUCUUUAUCAACCCUAAAAUCUAACAAUAAAUCCUGUACUACUUUUUGAAAUAUAUCCCAAUUAAUAAGCUUGUAAUUUGGAAGUUUUGGUAAAUUAAUAUUAUUAUUUGUAUCUGCAUCCUUAUUUCUAUUAAUAAGUAUUUUUAUAUUUACAGGUAAAUGAUAACUGCCCAUAGGAUCAUCGUGAACUGACCAAUCACAAGCUAAUGCAAGAGAUGGAGAGACUAAAGACAAAUCUAAAGCAUUCGGGCGCCAUGUUAGUGAACCAACUGUAGUUGGUUCCCCACUGUUCAAUAGUACUAAAUUAUUAUCAUCAAUAAUAUCAAGAAGAUUUCUGCCUCUGCAAUUUAUAUUAUUGCUACCCCAUGCUGUAUGAUUAGCAUUAAAAUCACCUCCAAGAAUAAAAGGCUUUGGAGUAUUUUUAAUUAACAAAUCUAACUUAUUUUUGUUAAAAUUUGCAGUAGGUGGGCUAUAAAAACUAAUAAAACUUAUUUCUUGGUUAUAAAGCUUAAUUGUUCUACAAAUAUUUUGAUGAGCAUUGUCACAAAAUGUGUCUAUUUUUGUAUAUGGUAUACUGUUACGUAUUAUUAGUGCAACACCAUUGUGGUUGCUACCUAUAUCUUUUCUUUCAAUUUUAUAACCGCGUAUAUUAAGUUUCUGUUCAGGUUUUAACCAUGUUUCAUUAAUAAUCGCAAUGUGUAUAUCAUUCUCAUAUAAAAACUGUGUAAAAAUAUGUCGAUUGCAAAGUAAGCUUUGGGCAUUCCAUUGGACUAUAUUGAUGUAGUCCAUUAUUUAUUUUUUUGAAUGGGAAGUUUUUUUACUGAAAGUUUCAAGGAGAAUGUUUUUGAUACUAUCUGAACUAAUUGGAUUUUUAUCUGUUUUAUUGGAUAUGAUUUUAACUAUUGAUUCUACAAUUAGAUUGAUAAAGUUGUCUGAUUUAAGUAAGUGCUGUAAAUGUUUAUUAGGGUCAUUUGUUAACUUUGGAAAUGAUUUUUCAUCAAAUAAAUCUACGUAUUGAAAAGCUCUCACUUUAGUUUUAUUUUCAUUUAUUUUCUGUUUUUUUAAUGGGCAUUCUCUAGAAACAGCUAUAUGGUUUCCAUCACAGUUGUAACAUUUUGCGUUUGCUAUAUCAACAGUGCAAUUUUUAAAGUUAUGGUUUUCCGUACAUAUGGAGCACUUCACAGAAUUUUUACAAAAUUUAGCUAUAUGCCCAUAUCGUAGGCACUGAAGGCAUUGCUUGACUGGUGGAAUGAAAGGACUCACCUCAUGUCUCCAGGAGUCUAGAUGAACGUAUUGUGGCAGUUGUGUGGCUGCAAAUGUCACAGCUACUGUUCCUGUUGGGUUAUAUUCAAAUUCUUGGUUAACCCUUACCCUUGUCGUAAGACGCCUUACUUGAAUAACGUUACUGGUACUGGCUAAGAGAGAAAAAAUGGUUUUGUUCGAUAGUCCAAGAGGAACUCCCCGUAGGACUCCAGUGAUUUCUGUUGCAGCAGCCGGGAUACUUGGUGUCAUGUUCACAUAUUUAUGGAAUUUUUCAUUACAUAAGAAUACAUUCGCGUUAUUUGCCAUGUUAAAAACAAUGCCGACUUUGUAUUUAUUAAUUGGUUUCAAGUAUUUAACUCCACUAACACAAUAUUGUCUAAUGGCUGAAGAAAUAGCUAAUUUAUCUUUCUCUCCAAUAGGUUUGUCAGCAAUAUUACUUGAAAGAAACACAAUAAAUUCCUCUCCGCGGCUAUUUUCAGAAUAUUUUCUUGAAUAAUUGUGAAUUUUAAAUGGUACAUAUUUAGACUUAUCCUCAUUUUCUAGAUCACUCGAUGAUCUGGAUUCGUCACUUAGCGACGUCUCUUUUUUUCGUUUUGCUUUGGCGCUCCUCAUGAUGAGGGCACCGAAAUGUAAUUUCAGACAACUUCAAUACUCAAAAUUAUAAAGAUUAGAUUUUUUUUUGAAAAAGCAGUUUCUAAAAACGCGCCUUCCUAAACCGUCG
This 5068-nucleotide unclassified non-coding RNA is filed under the name Melitaea cinxia (Glanville fritillary). Its description in RNAcentral is "misc RNA ENSMCXG00005020715.1". Lineage: Eukaryota; Metazoa; Arthropoda; Insecta; Lepidoptera; Nymphalidae. The record is from RNAcentral.